This 1410-nucleotide ribosomal RNA is filed under the name Enterococcus faecium. RNAcentral's name for it is "bacterial SSU rRNA". It matches the Rfam family "Bacterial small subunit ribosomal RNA". The record is from RNAcentral. Lineage: Bacteria; Bacillati; Bacillota; Bacilli; Lactobacillales; Enterococcaceae.
AAGUCGUACGCUUCUUUUUCCCCGGAGCUUGCUCCACCGGAAAAAGAAGAGUGGCGAACGGGUGAGUAACACGUGGGUAACCUGCCCAUCAGAAGGGGAUAACACUUGGAAACAGGUGCUAAUACCGUAUAACAAUCGAAACCGCAUGGUUUUGAUUUGAAAGGCGCUUUCGGGUGUCGCUGAUGGAUGGACCCGCGGUGCAUUAGCUAGUUGGUGAGGUAACGGCUCACCAAGGCUACGAUGCAUAGCCGACCUGAGAGGGUGAUCGGCCACAUUGGGACUGAGACACGGCCCAAACUCCUACGGGAGGCAGCAGUAGGGAAUCUUCGGCAAUGGACGAAAGUCUGACCGAGCAACGCCGCGUGAGUGAAGAAGGUUUUCGGAUCGUAAAACUCUGUUGUUAGAGAAGAACAAGGAUGAGAGUAACUGUUCAUCCCUUGACGGUAUCUAACCAGAAAGCCACGGCUAACUACGUGCCAGCAGCCGCGGUAAUACGUAGGUGGCAAGCGUUGUCCGGAUUUAUUGGGCGUAAAGCGAGCGCAGGCGGUUUCUUAAGUCUGAUGUGAAAGCCCCCGGCUCAACCGGGGAGGGUCAUUGGAAACUGGGAGACUUGAGUGCAGAAGAGGAGAGUGGAAUUCCAUGUGUAGCGGUGAAAUGCGUAGAUAUAUGGAGGAACACCAGUGGCGAAGGCGGCUCUCUGGUCUGUAACUGACGCUGAGGCUCGAAAGCGUGGGGAGCAAACAGGAUUAGAUACCCUGGUAGUCCACGCCGUAAACGAUGAGUGCUAAGUGUUGGAGGGUUUCCGCCCUUCAGUGCUGCAGCUAACGCAUUAAGCACUCCGCCUGGGGAGUACGACCGCAAGGUUGAAACUCAAAGGAAUUGACGGGGGCCCGCACAAGCGGUGGAGCAUGUGGUUUAAUUCGAAGCAACGCGAAGAACCUUACCAGGUCUUGACAUCCUUUGACCACUCUAGAGAUAGAGCUUCCCCUUCGGGGGCAAAGUGACAGGUGGUGCAUGGUUGUCGUCAGCUCGUGUCGUGAGAUGUUGGGUUAAGUCCCGCAACGAGCGCAACCCUUAUUGUUAGUUGCCAUCAUUCAGUUGGGCACUCUAGCAAGACUGCCGGUGACAAACCGGAGGAAGGUGGGGAUGACGUCAAAUCAUCAUGCCCCUUAUGACCUGGGCUACACACGUGCUACAAUGGGAAGUACAACGAGUCGCGAAGUCGCGAGGCUAAGCUAAUCUCUUAAAGCUUCUCUCAGUUCGGAUUGUAGGCUGCAACUCGCCUACAUGAAGCCGGAAUCGCUAGUAAUCGCGGAUCAGCACGCCGCGGUGAAUACGUUCCCGGGCCUUGUACACACCGCCCGUCACACCACGAGAGUUUGUAACACCCGAAGUCGGUGAGGUAACCUU